GAACGAUGUGGCACGAGGCGCGGCGAUCGGAGCGGAAGGUGCACGACCUCAUGGACGCGGCCCGCCGCCGCGCGCAGCGCCGGGCCGUGUUCCUCGCCAAGCGCCGCGGCGAUCCCCACCAGUCGAUCCAAGUCGCCGGCGCUCGCUGCCGCGUCCACCGCGACGACGGCCUCUACCAGGCGGCCCAGGACCAGCAAGGACUAAUACCGUGGAAUGGAAAGCAGAAUAUUUUGAUUGACAGAUUU
Molecule: unclassified non-coding RNA, 245 nt
Filed under: Hevea brasiliensis (rubber tree)
Lineage: Eukaryota; Viridiplantae; Streptophyta; Magnoliopsida; Malpighiales; Euphorbiaceae
Source: RNAcentral